AUUGAACGCUGGCGGCAUGCCUUACACAUGCAAGUCGAACGGCAGCACGGGAGCAAUCCUGGUGGCGAGUGGCGAACGGGUGAGUAAUAUAUCGGAACGUGCCCGGUCGUGGGGAUAACGUAGCGAAAGCUACGCUAAUACCGCAUACGAUCUACGGAUGAAAGCGGGGGAUCGCAAGACCUCGCGCGAUUGGAGCGGCCGAUAUCAGAUUAGGUAGUUGGUGAGGUAAAGGCUCACCAAGCCGACGAUCUGUAGCUGGUCUGAGAGGACGACCAGCCACACUGGGACUGAGACACGGCCCAGACUCCUACGGGAGGCAGCAGUGGGGAAUUUUGGGACAAUGGGCGCAAGCCUGAUCCAGCAAUGCCGCGUGCAGGAUGAAGGCCUUCGGUUGUAACUGCUUUGUUACGG
Molecule: ribosomal RNA, 411 nt
Filed under: uncultured bacterium
Lineage: Bacteria
Description: bacterial SSU rRNA
Rfam family: Bacterial small subunit ribosomal RNA
Source: RNAcentral